GCUCCCUUUUUAUCGUUUGGGCCACCGAUAAGGGAGAGAAAGAAAUACAGUGAAAAAAUUAGAAAGGGGACGAAUAGAAUAGAAGAGAAGCAAAUUCGGAGGGGUUAAGAUGACCGUCGUCAGGAGGAUAUGUGAAAGGGUUUUUAAAAUGCCGUUGGCUGCUAGAAUGAAUGAAUUCAGGGGAGAGAUGUCAGCGGAGUAUCUACUGCUGGAAUAUAAUGAGAAGCAAAAAAGGGCUAUGUUUGAGGUUCUACGGGCAAGAUAUGGUGAUGAGCACUAGACACAAGGUUGACAACUUAUGGAGGACUAGUAGUAUAACUUUCUUAAAGUUUUUGUUAGAAAUUGUCUGCAGGUGGGGGUUAAUGUUGAUAGAUUAUGGAGGACUGGUAAUGUUACUUUCUUUUGUGCUUGGAAGGAAGUGGUGAGGAAAGAAAAUAGGAAGGAAAUAACAAAUUUUCUUUGCUAC
This is a long non-coding RNA of Cornus florida, 466 nucleotides long. RefSeq lists it as uncharacterized. The transcript has 3 exons. The record is from RefSeq and is a predicted model, not a curated record. Lineage: Eukaryota; Viridiplantae; Streptophyta; Magnoliopsida; Cornales; Cornaceae.